RNAcentral lists this ribosomal RNA (187 nucleotides) under uncultured Actinomycetales bacterium. RNAcentral's name for it is "partial 16S ribosomal RNA". It matches the Rfam family "Bacterial small subunit ribosomal RNA", at positions 147 to 334 of the family's 1533-position model. The record is from RNAcentral. Lineage: Bacteria; Bacillati; Actinomycetota; Actinomycetes; Actinomycetales.
UUCCAGGAAACUGGGGCUAAUACCGGAUAGGAGCUCCUGCUGCAUGGUGGGGGUUGGGAAAGUUUCGGCGGUUGGGGAUGGACUCGCGGCUUAUCAGCUUGUUGGUGGGGUAGUGGCUUACCAAGGCUUUGACGGGUAGCCGGCCUGAGAGGGUGACCGGCCACAUUGGGACUGAGAUACGGCCCAG